RNAcentral lists this unclassified non-coding RNA (266 nucleotides) under Chytridiomycota sp. RNAcentral describes it as "partial contains small subunit ribosomal RNA, internal transcribed spacer 1, and 5.8S ribosomal RNA". The stretch from base 1 to 47 matches the Rfam family "Eukaryotic small subunit ribosomal RNA", at positions 1785 to 1831 of the family's 1831-position model. Lineage: Eukaryota; Fungi; Chytridiomycota. The record is from RNAcentral.
AAAGUCGUAACAAGGUAACCGUAGGUGAACCUGCGGUUGGAUCAUUAUUGAUUUACUAUGGUUUAAAGUUGUAGGGUAUUGAUGCCUAGGUGACUAGGCUCCCCAAAGCUUUUUAACCAUUUAACACCAUGUGCACUGUAAUUGUUUUUUGGGCCUAAAGUUUUUUUUAGGUCCUAAGUUUUUAUAAACCCUAUUAAAUUUUGACUGAUUAAACCAAGAUUUUUAUAAAUCAAAUACAACUUUUGACAACGGAUCUCUUGGCUCUC